GGUCAUACCCGCAAGAAGGCUGAGAAAUGUAUUUCAUUCUGAGUAGCCACGCAUCUCGCCCAAACGCAGGCCUUUUACUUCUACGUUGGAGAAAAGUUGAUUCAGCCGACAAUGGACUACUAUAAAGCAAUUAAAUAUUUUGGUGCAAAGAAUAUUUGAUGUAAUGGAAAAUACUCAACACAUGUUACUGAAUGAAAAUUUUUCAAAGGGCCAGCUGCAUGCGGCAGAUUAUUACCUAGUCAAUGUGGAACACGGCCAACCGCUGGGGAGGCAUCGGACAUUAUGCCAUCAUGUCAAGCAGUCACCAAGACCAGCCCUUUCCCCUGGAGCCCGUUAACAAUUAAAAUGUUGUGAAUUGC
Long non-coding RNA from Prionailurus viverrinus (fishing cat), 359 nucleotides. RefSeq lists it as uncharacterized. The transcript is spliced from 3 exons. The record is from RefSeq and is a predicted model, not a curated record. NCBI's taxonomy places the organism in Eukaryota, Metazoa, Chordata, Mammalia, Carnivora, Felidae.